Molecule: ribosomal RNA, 172 nt
Filed under: Engyodontium sp.
Lineage: Eukaryota; Fungi; Ascomycota
Description: partial 18S ribosomal RNA
Rfam family: Eukaryotic small subunit ribosomal RNA
Source: RNAcentral
GUACACACCGCCCGUCGCUACUACCGAUUGAAUGGCUCAGUGAGGCGUCCGGACUGGCCCAGGGAGGUGGGCAACUACCACCCAGGGCCGGAAAGCUCUCCAAACUCGGUCAUUUAGAGGAAGUAAAAGUCGUAACAAGGUCUCCGUUGGUGAACCAGCGGAGGGAUCAUUA